This 253-nucleotide ribosomal RNA is filed under the name uncultured bacterium. Its description in RNAcentral is "partial 16S ribosomal RNA". It matches the Rfam family "Bacterial small subunit ribosomal RNA", at positions 524 to 776 of the family's 1533-position model. The record is from RNAcentral.
UACGUAGGGGGCAAGCGUUGUCCGGAAUCAUUGGGCGUAAAGCGCGUGUAGGCGGCUCGGUAAGUCUGCUGUGAAAGUCCAGGGCUCAACCCUGGGAUGCCGGUGGAUACUGUCGGGCUAGAGUGCGGGAGAGGCGAGUGGAAUUCCUGGUGUAGCGGUGAAAUGCGCAGAUAUCAGGAGGAACACCAAUUGCGAAGGCAGCUCGCUGGAACGUAACUGACGCUGAGACGCGAAAGCGUGGGGAGCAAACAGG